CGGCUGGUGUUCUGCUUUGAAACAAACUGCUGUUGAGGUCUGUGUUUUUAGGUUUAACCCCACAGUUUCUGAAUGAACUGAUAGUUGUUUUUUUUCCUGAUCAAUGUGGACGUUAUAAUUGAUGGUAACAUUUACUGAUCAUAUAAUCAGCAUGACAAUAUAACAGUAUAACAUUCUGACCACCUGACUAAUACUGUGUUGGUCCCUUUAUGCUGCUAAAACUCCUCUGACCCAGUGGUUCAUCAGAACCUCUGGGGAUCCUGUGGAUUCUGUGGAUCCUGUGGGUUGCAGGGUGGGUCCUACCUAGACCAGGCUGAUCCUGGACCAUCCCACAGAUGCUCCAUCAGAUCUGGAUGUGGGGAGUGUGGAACCCAGAUGUUCAGAGGGAGAUGAUGCCACAUCUGGUCCAGCUGAUGGAAGGUCUUGAAGUUCUCUGACUGGCCUCGACUGAAGAUGGUCGUCUCACUGGAUUUAAGGUUCAGAUGCUCAGUAACAAACUCCACCAAUGAGCCAACAGGGAAGCUUUAGGUUUAUUAAAUGUUGCUAUGAAGGUAUCGCUGUUUUUCUUAGUGAAUGCAAUGAGAUCCAACUGAAACUUGAAUUAGAACUUAGAAGUAAAUCCUUCCAUCUGAAAGGAUUUAGUUGCAUUAAUAACCUCAUAACAUCCUAAUUUUUAUUCCAGUCUUGGUUGGAAAUAGAAUCUCUGUAUUGAUUCAGGUAAAAACUGAACUUCACAGCAUGUUGGAGCAAAACAACCAGAUGAAAACUGUGAUGGUGUUGGAUUGUCAGACUGUAAUGUUGCAGCUCAAAGCAGCUUUUCUAUCUCAGUUCAUUCUGACAUUCAGCUAUGAAUCAACACAGCAGAUGGUGAUCCAUGCUGUGGAAGUCUCACAUCUCCUGAUUUAAUGGAGCUGCUUUGCACUUUUUACACUGUUUAUUCACCAACACUUCAUUUAAUAAAAGUCCCAUCUAGUUUUUAUGAGGAAUGUGAUGUUUUAAUUUCUCUGAAUAACUGCAGUCUAAUGGAACAGCUGGAGUUGUAACAUCUGUCCUGAUAUUGAUCAUGAAGUAUUGAUCAGAAUGAUCAGAUGAGUUUGGUUUUACUGCCAGCUACCAUUCAGUCUGAGAUAUUAAGAAUAAAUAAAUGUGCAUAAUGUGGAAAUGAACAGAUUAGAUUUGUAUUUAUUCCUACAGCUGCUGCAGGUUCCAAAGUUCCAGAAUGUGGAGGAAUUUAGUCUCACAAUCACAGACAAUAAAUAUUAUCUGAAAGUCGGGUUAUUGUUGUUUAUCAGCACAAUACAAAAAGAUUAAUGUUAGAAAUAUUCCAGUUAAGACUCUAGAAUAUCAUGAUUUAUGUAAAUUUACCUCAAUAAUAUGAAUGUUCAGGUUAAGAUUGUACAGUGAUAUUUAUUAUGUAAGUUUAGCUGAUUAAAGUUUAUGACUCUGCACUAAAAUAUUAUUUAAAUUUACAUCAUUAUUAUAAUAUUUAGGGUCAGACCCUACAGUAUUGAGAUUAAGAAAUCAAAUAUUCUAUAAAAUGUAAAUACACUGAACUCAUUUGGAUAUAUUUAAGUGAGACUCUACAAUAUUAUUUGACACAAAUCUAUCUAAAUCAAAAUUUUAAUCAUUUUUACUCCAAACAUUUACUGGACUGAUUUAAAUAUUAAAAUCACUCCUUUCUAAUCCUCUGCUGUACGUUCAAACCUGAGGCCUUAAAUAGAAACACACAAGUAUCUGAUUGAAGGAACUUCUGCAGAGUCCUGGUUCCAGAACAUGAUGAUAGAAUUAUAGACAAACUUUAACAAAAGCUGCCUGAGAGUUUACAGGUUUUUAUGUUAGAUUUCUUCAGUAAUUUAAUGAGAGUUAUCAGCAAAAAUCAAGUGUUCAUUUGAUGAACUUCAUUUCCUAAAACAUCCAGAAUUGGAGCUCAUAUCUUUGGCAGCUGUAAAGUUUCUGCUCCUUCAAAGUUCACAACACAAUGAAUGAAUUCCUAAAACACUCUCAAUGCUGGAGAGCGUUUGUGAUGCUGAAGCAGUGACCAGUUUUUCUGUUUCUUCUCUGGAGAUGCACAAUGAGGGACGUCUGCAGAGACUGAGAAAGAGUCUCACCACAUCCUGACAUGAGGAAAAAGACUUUAUUGAAGACUACAAUGAGAAAAACUAUCAGACAGCAGACGGCUGCAUUCAAGGUGAGCUCUGAACAUUUGAUCUGGAACAGGAAUUCAAUAACGGCAGCAUGAGCUUCAUUUCAGUCUGUAGCUGCUGAAUUCAUGGAUGAAUCAUCUGGCACUAGAGAGGAAGACCAUCAAACAUCCACGUCAGCUGAUGGAGGUCCAAGAGUCUCACCCAACAAACAACCUACAGAGUGAAGACCUCGAAUCUGAUUGGACGGCCUCCUAUUCAGCCACAUUUUAGGCUGUUAGAUUGUUCCAGAUAAGACAAGUACAAGAUUCUUCAGAGCCGUUCUACCACGAGCCUGACAGGAAGAACUCCAACAGCUACUGAAUGUUCCUGUGGUUCCCUCAAGGCUACAGGAGGAGCCCUACGAGGACGAGCCGGUCCACCUGAUGGUGGCCAGUCGCUGCGGUUCAAAGCCAACACCGACUACGUGGACUUCUACUGGACCACACGGAGGCCUUCAAACCGGACCAACAAGUUCAGCGACUCCCCGACUCGUGGGUCUGAGGACGCCGCCGAGCCUCGGUCCAGCCGGCCUCCUGUCUGUGGGUGUUUGAGUGCUGAGAGGUUUGUGGAUGCAUGUGAACGUGUCUGUGUUGAAACAGCAGCUUUGGACUCAGUAACGCCGGGAAAAACCAAGAGCUCCUUUAUUUGUGACUUCCACUAAAAAACUGAUGAAAAUAAGUUUGCCAGGGUUCUGACUGAUAACAGAUUAUUAAAUAAUGAAAAUAAUCAGUUUAAAUAUUCCUUUAAACAAUCCUUUUAGGUCUACAUUUCCUUUACACUGACUUCUUGGUAUAUGUACAAGUAUUUUGGGUGGAAUAUACCAUUAAGCCCAAUGUUCAAGGGUUCUUCUGGGAAUAUACCAUUAAACCAACCUUUUAGGUAAAUGUUCCAGGAUGUUGGGUAGAAUAUACCAUCAGAUCAACCUUUUAGGUCUACAUUGGAAGAUUUUAGAGUAGAAUAUUACUCCAAACCAUCCUUUAGGUCUACAUUUAAGGUGGAAUACUCCUUUACACCAAGAUUUUUUUGGUCUACAUUGAAGGAUUUUAGGUGGAAUAUUCCUUUGAACGAACUUUUUAAGUUUAUGUUCAAGGAUGUUGGGUGGAAUAUACCAUCAGACCAACCUCCAAGGUCUACAGUAGUGAAUUUUAGGUGGAAUAUACCAUUAAACUCACCUUUUAGGUCUACAUUGGAGGAUUUUAGGUGGAAUUUUCUUCCAAACCGUCUUUUAGUCUACAUUUAAGGAUGUUUAGGAUGGUAUAUUCUUCCAAACCAACUUCUCAGGUCUACAUUUCAGGUGGAAUAUUCCUCCAUACUAACUUUUUUGGUCUACAUUGAAGGAUUUUUUCUAAACCACCCUUUCGGGUCUAUAUUUGAGGUUUUAGGUGGAAUAUUCCUUUUAACCAGCCCCUCAGGUCUCUUUGAGGAUUUUGGAUGGAAUACUCGGUUAAACCAACAUUUUAGGUGCAUGUCCAAGGAUUUUUGGUGGAAUGUUCCUUUAAGGUGGAUGUUUGAGGACCUUGUAGGUGGAAUACUUCCUGAAACCAACCUUUUAGGUCAACAUUCAAAGAUUUAAGGUGGAAUAUUCCUUUAAACCAACCUAAAUUUCAUGUUUUGAUCAUUAUCAAGUGAGAAACCUCAAUCCAGACUCCUCAUAAUGACGUUUGAGAUUUAUGCUGCUGUUAUUUGUUUAGUCCAGACUAAAUGACAGAAAUCCACAACUGUAAUUUUAUUUCAGGACUCGGUUAUUAAAUGUCAAAACAAUCCAUGUGACUCUAAAAACUCAACAGCUUUACAAACUCUAAGAUUAAACUCUCCACAAGGAUCCAAAAUAAGUUGGACUUCUACAUGAGAGCUUUAAUUAUUCUUCAUCUACUUCCUGAAAAGUUUGGUCAAUAAAAAAGACAAAAACUAAUAUUUUCAGCUGAACUAAAGACAGACUUUGUGAUUUUUCUGCUCACAUGUUGUGUUGUUGUAAACUUACUCUUUCAAAUAAAUAGCCUCCUAACCCCCUGGAAACCAGCGUUUGUCCUGUUUUUGUGUUGCUCCUCGGCGACCCUAGACAGCCGGGUCGUAAUGUUUUUUGAGCAACACACCAUACUAUGACGUUUUUACAAUGAUGGUUCUACUAUGGAACCAGUUUGACAUGUUCAGGUGUUCUUUGUGUGAAAACUCAGAGAUUUCAGGUAUCAGAAGGUGGUUUUCAACUUUCUUUGUUAACUUUCUGCUUCAACUUUAAACUAAAUUUCCUUCACUAACCCAGCCCUCUGGACUUCCAGUAAGCUGUGUUCCUAUUGGCUGUCCAGGUGGCUGCUUGGUGUUAUCAGGAACACCUGAGCAGCUCAGUGUCUUCCUGCUUUAUUUAGCUGCAGACAAACAUUUCCUCUGCUUCUCUUCACCACUGAACCGGGUUUGGCUCCAUUGCUUUAGUUUGUUCUUUAGGCGUUGGCUUGCAGCUUCCAGCAGUAAAAUCGUCUUUAAUGUGUUUCUUGGUGUGUUUUAGGGCUUUGUACUGGAUAGUUGUCUUGGUAAAUGUGGUUCUUUAGCCACAGUUAGCACAUGGUGCUAAUGUGUGCAGUGAUUAGUGGAUUUGGUGCAGCUGAGUUGUGUCUUUAUCUUGGCUGUAGUGAGUCUUUAGAGGUUUUUGGUCAGACACAUUCUGUAUUCUUGUUUGAGAACCAACGUUGGUUGUCCAGAAGGUAAGAGUUCCUGUCCUGAUUCUCUGUUCUCAGAGGUUCUCUGGUAGGCUGCAGGAGACUUUAGCGUUUGGGUUGUGCUAGUUUGGUUUUUGUACGGUUUCAUUUGGACGACUAUCUUGAGGCCCCUCCAUGUGGUUUAGUGAGGUUUUCUGGAACAGUUCUACAAAGCAACCUGCAGCAGAAGAGACUUUGAGAGUUUUUAGGAAGUUCUGGAGACCAGACUUUAGAGCAGCAGAAACAUUUGUCAGCAGUUUGAGCAGGAGAAGGUGAGCUUCAGAGUAGAAAUGAGACAGAAACCUUCUUGACCCGUGUGGUGAGGUCCUGUACCAAGAGUUUGAGCAGGUUGUGAAGAGUCUGUAGUUCUUUGGUCUGAAAGCACAAGAAGAGUCGACUCAUUAAAGGAGAAAACAGGAGAUAUUGUUGGUUCUUCUGUCGCUCUGCAGUUUCCAGUUUCCUUAGACUGAAUAUCAAGUUUAUAUUUUAAAUGAUUUCCCAUGUGAGCCCAAGAAGACUUCAAUAAACUCCCUCCAUCCCCUGGACACAACAUAUUUUAUUACCAUGUUAAAUCUUUUUUUUUAAAUAUGUUUUUGAGUUUUAAUCAUAGUUUUAGCAUAGUUUUUUCUCUUUGCUUGUUUAGUUUUGUCAUCUGUGUGAAAGGUGCUAAACAAAUAAAGUUGAAUUGAUAAACU
This is a long non-coding RNA of Amphiprion ocellaris (clown anemonefish), 5568 nucleotides long. RefSeq lists it as uncharacterized. The record is from RefSeq and is a predicted model, not a curated record. Lineage: Eukaryota; Metazoa; Chordata; Actinopteri; Pomacentridae. The transcript is spliced from 3 exons.